CCUACGGGUGGCAGCAGUGGGGAAUAUUGGUCAAUGGAGGGAACUCUGAACCAGCGACGCCGCGUGAGUGAAGACGUUAUUCGUAUUGUAAAGCUCUAUCAGCUGGGAAGAAAAUGACGGUACCUGAACAAGAAGCUCCGGCUAAAUACGUGCCAGCAGCCGCGGUAAUACGUAGGGAGCAAGCGUUAUCCGGAUUUACUGGGUGUAAAGGGAGAGUAGGUGGCAGAGCAAGUCCGAAGUGAAAGCCCAGGGCUCAACCGAGGAAAUGCUGUAGAAACUGGUCAUCUAGAGUGCAGGAGAGGCAGGCGGAAUUCUUGGUGUAGCGGUGAAAUGCGUAGAUAGUAGGAGGAACACCAGUGGCGAAGGCGGCUUACUGGGCUGUAACUGACGCUGAGGCUCGAAAGCGUGGGUAGCAAACAGGAUUAGAUACCCGAGUAGUC
RNAcentral lists this ribosomal RNA (440 nucleotides) under uncultured bacterium. RNAcentral's name for it is "partial 16S ribosomal RNA". It matches the Rfam family "Bacterial small subunit ribosomal RNA", at positions 338 to 795 of the family's 1533-position model. The record is from RNAcentral.